CAGCAUCUGCCUCUUUCCACUUGAACUCUGGCAGGAGGUUUGUUCCAUUGCAUGUGGUUCUGAGUUGUUCAGUCUAAUGGAAGAAGCACUAGAGAAGAGCUCAGAACGUUUGGUUUUAAAGCAGCAUCGUCAAUAUCUUUGAGUCCAACAGUCAAAUUCAAAUAUACUCCAAGAAUGUUACGAAGUUGUCGUCGGGAAGCAUGGCAAACUGAUACAGUGAAAAGAGAAAUUCUUGAGUCAGGUGUUGACCACUUUAAAUCUCAGGCUGCUUCAUCUAUGCAGGAUAAUUCCACAGCGUGGGGCCAGGAAUCUAGCACCGAUCCAGAGACUGAGUCCACUGUAAGGAUAACUCACUGCAAGCUGCCGGUGCUGUGAGGCCUGUACCUAACCCCAGCCUCUAACCUUCAGCUUCAUUUGGGCUGGAAGUGGCCAUUUGUGGUGAGAGCUGAAAACAACACCCUUCCUUUAUGACUGGACGAGGAGCAGCUGCCUUGUCAGUGUCACUAGGGCUGGUCCACUGCUUAUCUAAGGUUAAG
Molecule: long non-coding RNA, 536 nt
Filed under: Homo sapiens (human)
Lineage: Eukaryota; Metazoa; Chordata; Mammalia; Primates; Hominidae
Description: HSALNT0069053
Source: RNAcentral